CAGCAGCCGCGGUAAUACGGAGGGCGCGAGCGUUACCCGGAUUUACUGGGCGUAAAGGGCGUGUAGGCGGCCUGGGGCGUCCCAUGUGAAAGGCCACGGCUCAACCGUGGAGGAGCGUGGGAUACGCUCAGGCUAGAGGGUGGGAGAGGGUGGUGGAAUUCCCGGAGUAGCGGUGAAAUGCGCAGAUACCGGGAGGAACGCCGAUGGCGAAGGCAGCCACCUGGUCCACUUCUGACGCUGAUGCACGAAAGCUAGGGGAGCAAACAGGAUUAGAUACCCGCGUAGUCCCUGUCUCUUAUAC
RNAcentral lists this ribosomal RNA (301 nucleotides) under uncultured bacterium. RNAcentral describes it as "partial 16S ribosomal RNA". It matches the Rfam family "Bacterial small subunit ribosomal RNA", at positions 509 to 807 of the family's 1533-position model. The record is from RNAcentral.